GAUGAACGCUGGCGGCAUGCCUAAUACAUGCAAGUCGAGCGAACGGACGAGAAGCUUGCUUCUCUGAUGUUAGCGGCGGACGGGUGAGUAACACGUGGAUAACCUACCUAUAAGACUGGGAUAACUUCGGGAAACCGUAGCUAAUACCGGAUAAUAUUUUGAACCGCAUGGUUCAAAAGUGAAAGACGGUCUUGCUGUCACUUAUAGAUGGAUCCGCGCUGCAUUAGCUAGUUGGUAAGGUAACGGCUUACCAAGGCAACGAUGCAUAGCCGACCUGAGAGGGUGAUCGGCCACACUGGAACUGAGACACGGUCCAGACUACUACGGGAGGCAGCAGUAGGGAAUCUUCCGCAAUGGGCGAAAGCCUGACGGAGCAACGCCGCGUGAGUGAUGAAGGUCUUCGGAUCGUAAAACUCUGUUAUUAGGGAAGAACAUAUGUGUAAGUAACUGUGCACAUCUUGACGGUACCUAAUCAGAAAGCCACGGCUAACUACGUG
RNAcentral lists this ribosomal RNA (497 nucleotides) under uncultured bacterium. RNAcentral's name for it is "partial 16S ribosomal RNA". It matches the Rfam family "Bacterial small subunit ribosomal RNA", at positions 28 to 507 of the family's 1533-position model. The record is from RNAcentral.